This 2110-nucleotide long non-coding RNA is filed under the name Musa acuminata (dwarf banana). Its description in RNAcentral is "long non-coding RNA (MACU_LNC009870)". Lineage: Eukaryota; Viridiplantae; Streptophyta; Magnoliopsida; Zingiberales; Musaceae. The record is from RNAcentral.
ACAUGAGUGAAGUUCUAACAGAACAUAAAGACCAACUUUGAAUAAAAUUACCAAAUUAUACACUUUUGCAAAAAUAUCUCAAUAUAGAUAAGCUAAAAAGACAUUAUUCGGGAAGAACUAAUCCAAUUUGGAAAGGACAAUGUCUUCUGUCAAAAAACAGAGUUGGCUUACUGCAUAUUGUAAUAAAAGAUGCCACCUUCCAUGAUGCCAUUGAUGCUAAUAAAUAUCAGAGCUCAUCCUUGUCAUUAGAUCCUACAAUAGAACCAAAAGAGGAGUAUCUUUUAAUUCAAUCCAAAUUUCAUAGCUAUAAAACUAGUUAGGUUGCCCACAUAAGAACAACCAUAUUUCCAACUUGUGCAACUAAACUUUUGGGUGUUUUGACUUAUAGAUCACAAUCUUUGUAAACUUUUAUUUCAAACUUUUGAGUAAGGCAUGAACCAACAACUAUCUAACAUCAAACUAAGUUUUUCAUAGCUAUUUAGGCCAUCUGCGGCUGCUUUAAAGCCAGCUAAACUGUUAUGAACUUUGAUCUUAUUAUACAUUUUAAUCACAAAAUGACAAAUGCAGGUUUAAAUUGCAGAUUCAUGAGAUGAAGUAGUUUUCUAGUACAGGAUCUACUUCCUACAAAAAAAAUAUGCACAAAAAUAAAUCUAGGAAGGAUCUAGAAGUCAUGUUCAAUAAAUUCUUGCUGAGAAUCUCACAUGAAUAGGACUUCGGUGCUAAAAACUCUAAAAUUUCUCAUGUGAAGGCAAUUGUGUUAUACCAGUUUAAUUACGAUACAAGAAAAUGGUUUGAAGACACGGAUUAUUAAAAAGAAGGAUACAACAAUUUUGGAAAAAUAACAGACAAAAUUCAGAAAGAAGAAUAUAAAUUAUGGAAACAAAGUUAAAAUAGCAGCAAAUUUUGUACAUAAUUAAACGUGAGUGAAGUUCUAAAAUAACAUAAAGACCAACUUUGAAUAAAAUUAUCAAAUUAUACACUUUUGCAAAAAAAUCUCAAUAUAGAUAAGCUAAAAAGACAUUAUUCGGGAAGAACUAAUCCAAUUUGGAAUGGACAAGGUCUUCUGUCAAAAACAGAGUUGGCUUACUGCAUAUUGUAAUAAAAGAUGCCACCUACCAUGAUGACAUUGAUGCUAAUAAAUACCAGAGCUCAUAUUUGUCAUUUGAUCCUACAAUAGUACCAAAAGAGGAGUAUCUUUUAAUUCAAUCCAAAUUUCAUAGCUAUAAACCUAGUUAGGUUGCCGACACAAGAACAACCAUAUUUCCUACUUAUGCAACUAAACUUUUGGGUGUUUUGACUUAUAAAUCACAAUCUUUGUAAACUUUUAUUUCAUGCUUUUGAGUAAGGCAUGAACCAACAACUAUCUAUCAUCAAACUAUGUUUUUCAUAGCUAUUUAGGCUAUUUGCGGCUGCUUUAAAGCCAGCUAAAUUGUUCUGAACUUUGAUCGUAUGAUACAGUUUAAUCAGAAAAUGACAAAUGCAGGUUUAAAUUGCAGAUUCAUUAGAUGCAGUAGUUUUCUAGUAAAGGAACUACUUCCUACAAAAAAAAUAUGCACAAAAAUAAUUCUAGGAAGGAUCUAGAUGUCAUGUUCAAUAAAUUUUUGCUGAAAAUCUCAAAUGAAUAGGACUUCUGUGCUAAAAACUCUAAAAUUUCUCUUGUGAAAACAUGAUUUGUAGACUCACGGAGUAUUAAAAAGUGGGCUACAACAAUUUUGGAAAAAUAACAGACAAAAUUCAGAAAGAAGAAUAUCAAUAAUGGAUACGAAGUUAAAAUAACAGCAAAUUUUGUACAUAAUUAAACAUGAGUGAAGUUCUAAAAUAACAUAAAGACCAACUUUGAAUAAAAUUACCAAAUUAUACACUUUUGCAAAAAUAUCUCAAUAUAGAUAAGCUAAAAAGACAUUAUUCAGGAAGAACUAAUCAAAUUUGGAAAGAACAAGGUCGUCUGCAAAAAACAGAGUUGGAUUACUGCAUAUUGUAAUAAAAGAUGCCACCUUCCAUGAUGACAUUGAUGCUAAUAAAUACCAGAGCUCAUCCUUGUCAUUUGAUCCUACAAUAGAAUCAAAAGAGGAGUAUCUUUUAAUUCAAUCCAAAUUUCAUGGCUAUAAAC